UACAGAGGGUGCGAACGUUGCUCGGAAUUACUGGGCGUAAAGCGCGUGUAGGCGGGGCCGAAAGUCAGAUGUGAAAUCCCCGGGCUCAACCCGGGAACUGCAUCUGAAACUUCGGUCCUUGAGUACUGGAGAGGGUGGCGGAAUUCCUGGUGUAGAGGUGAAAUUCGUAGAUAUCAGGAGGAACACCGGUGGCGAAGGCGGCCACCUGGACAGUAACUGACGCUGAGACGCGAAAGCGUGGGGAGCAAACAGG
RNAcentral lists this ribosomal RNA (253 nucleotides) under uncultured bacterium. RNAcentral describes it as "partial 16S ribosomal RNA". It matches the Rfam family "Bacterial small subunit ribosomal RNA", at positions 524 to 776 of the family's 1533-position model. The record is from RNAcentral.